This 837-nucleotide ribosomal RNA is filed under the name uncultured low G+C Gram-positive bacterium. Its description in RNAcentral is "bacterial SSU rRNA". It matches the Rfam family "Bacterial small subunit ribosomal RNA", at positions 1 to 847 of the family's 1533-position model. The record is from RNAcentral. Lineage: Bacteria; Bacillati; Bacillota.
GCCCUUAGAGUUUGAUCAUGGCUCAGGACGAACGCUGGCGGCAUGCCUCACACAUGCAAGUCGAACGAGAAAAGCAAAGAGCUUGCUCUUUGUGGAUCUAGUGGCGGACGGGUGCGUAACACGUGGGCAACCUGCCCUUUAGUUUGGGAUACCAUCGGGAAACUGAUGUUAAUACCAAAUACCUUCAUUAAAUCACCUGAUUGAAUGAAGAAAGAUUUAUCGCUAAAGGAUGGGCCCGCGCUUCAUUAGCUAGUUGGUAGGGUAAUGGCCUACCAAGGCAACGACGGAUAGCUGGUCUGAGAGGACGAUCAGCCACACUGGGACUGAGACACGGCCCAGACUCCUACGGGAGGCAGCAGUGGGGGAUAUUGCGCAAUGGGGGCAACCCUGACGCAGCAAUGCCGCGUGAAGGAUGAAGGUUUUCGGAUCGUAAACUUCUGUUAUGAGGGAUGAAGAAAGUGACAGUACCUCAAGAGGAAGCCCCGGCUAACUACGUGCCAGCAGCCGCGGUAAUACGUAGGGGGCAAGCGUUGUCCGGAAUUACUGGGCGUAAAGAGCAUGUAGGUGGUUUAAUAAGUCAGAUGUUAAACUGCGGGGCUUAACCCCGUAUUGCAUUUGAAACUGUUAAACUUGAGAACAGGAGAGGAAAGUGGAAUUCCUAGUGUAGCGGUGAAAUGCGUAGAUAUUAGGAAGAACACCAGUGGCGAAGGCGACUUUCUGGACUGUUACUGACACUGAGAUGCGAAAGCGUGGGGAGCGAACAGGAUUAGAUACCCUGGUAGUCCACGCCGUAAACGCUGGGUACUAGGUGUAGGAGGUUUCGAUACCUUCUGUGCC